AAUAAAAAAAAUUAAUUAUAUAUAAGAAUGAAAUAUAUAUUUAAUAAUUUUGAAAUAUAUUUGUAUUGUAUGUAUUAGAAUUUUAAAUUAAUAUUUUUUUAAAUUAAAAAAUUAUUUAAAUAUGUGUGAAUUAGAUUGGAUCGGUUAUUUUUAUAUAUCAAUCAAUAUUUAAUUCGUAUAUUUUAAAUUUUUUAAUUAAUCUAAUUCGUAUAAAUGUGAAUAUUUAUACUUUUGCAAAUUAAGUUGGAUUGAUACAUAAAUUAAAUUGACUAUUUUAUGAAUGCACCUAGUGUCAGCCACCAUAAAAUUAAGUUUGCACCAAUCUAUUAAAGUUGGAAUUGAAAAAAGAAGAAGAUAAAAAUAAUAAAAUUAAAGAACUAAAACAAAAACUAUGAAGAGAAAUAGGUUAGAAUUGUUAAAUAAUUCCAAAUUAGCAUUACUACAAUAAAUGGUAUAGCAUAAUUGAGGUUUGUCAAUUAGAAGUUCAAACCUGUCAAAAGAUUUUUCAAAAUCCUUGGGCUUUUUUGACUCGUUAGUAAAAAUGAUAUAUUUAAAAGCUAAAUUAAGUGAUCAGUUACUUAUGUAUACAAAUAUGAAUUAAUUUUUGAGAAGUUUGCACUCAAACUCUUUUAUGUUUUCAUUUGUAUGCACUUAAUUCCUUUUUUUUUUUUUUUCAAAAUUAUCUUACAUUUACUUCUAUUUGUAAAUGUGAAUCAUUUGUUAAUUUUGACUGUUAAAUGCCAUAUUAGAUUGCCACUGUGUAUACUUGUGUGUUCACGUGACAUGUGUUCAUUGGUCCAAAUAAUUUUAAUUAUUUAAACUUUAUAAAAUUAAUUUAAAAAUUAAAAAUAUUAAACAAAAUGAAAAAUAUACAAAAUAAAUAAUAAUAUAAAAAAUAAAAACCUUAAGUCACGACCUAAGUUAUUUCUCUCUUCCUCUCUCUCUCUCUCUCUCUCUCUCUCUCUCUCUCUCUCUCUCUCUCGUGCUGGUGACUGUAGAUGUUGGGGAAGUCAAAGGCAUUUCCGUGUGGCCAAUGGCGAACGAUGGUGGUCGUGUCUGAUAGAGAAUCACUAGAGAGAUGGGAUUGGGGUUUUAUAGAUCUCGACAGAACACGACUACCUUCAUAGUGAUCGACACCAAGUAUCUUUGGAAGGUCAACACUCUACAACCUCCAGUGUGAAUAUAACUGAGGGAACGCUAAAUAACUCCAAGGGUCCAACCUAGGAGACAUAAUGCGACAAGAGAGCUAAUGCGAAGACAAGAACCAAAGAUUAGAGUAGGUGAUGACAUUAUUUACAAGUCUCCCAAGUCAAAGGAUAUCACUCAAGACAAUCAAAAGUCGAUUGCUAAUAUUGUCAAAAUUGAUGCCCACCUAGUAGUUUUGUAUGAAAUAGGCUUAGUCUGUGUCAUGAAGUCAGCCUCGCACAAGUGCCAAGAUGAUUUGGGGGGCAAAUGUUUACACGAAAACUAGCCUUGGUGAUGUGGAAUUCAAUGUUUGACACAUGACAAGAAAGAAAACAUCCCAAAUUUGAGUAGUCACGAGUCAUAGUAGUCGACCUGGGAGGGGUCCGUAGUCCUGCACCCAGGUUACUCCAAAAUGGGUGUUUGUAUCCUGCCAAGUUGUUUCCAAUUCACCAUCUUUCAGUAUUUUGAACAAUUAAGAGAAGAAGAAUCUAAGUCCAAGGCUUGGAAACUGAAAAGAGACUAAACAACACCUUGAAAGUCAAACCGGACGCCUAGGGUUUUCACUUAGCGCCCAGGUUGAGAUUCCAACGAGGGUUUCAAUUUUCGAGUUUGUCUUAGUGCCAAUGGCUCAAACUUUGUAUGUUGACAUGAAUAAGACCUGUCACGAACAUUUUUGAGGCAUAAAAAUUAAAAUCAGAGCAUUUUUCAGUUUUAAGCACCCGAGGCACCAGGUGCCUAUGGCACCCAACGCUCAGGUUGACAUAAUGUCAACCUCGAGCGCAUCCAAAAAUAGUUAACAAGAUGUCUUCUGUGCAUAUUCUCUGUUUUCGUCAACAGUUAAGAUUUGGGUGCUUUCAGAAACAUACAGAGUCAUCUGGGAGCCAGAACUAGGACCUAGCGCUCAGGUUGACUUAGGUGUUGGGCCCAGUGCCCAUGUUGACAUUUUGUCAGCUUGGGCCAUUUCUAAUCAGUUUUUUGAAAAUUCUUCCUAGCAUACUUUGUUCUCAUAAAUAACUGAGAUAUGAGUGUUUUUGAGAAUUAAAUGAACUAUUUGGUGGAAAAAAAACUGGACCCAACGCCCAAGUUGACAUUUUGUCAACUUGGGCUAUUUCCAGUCAUUUUUCUUGAAAAGUGUUCCGAACAUCUUUUUUAUUUUCAAAAAUAACAAAGAUACAAGUGAUUUUAGGGAGCAAACAAAAUCUUAUAGGGUCAAAACAGGGACCCAAUGCCCAAGUUGUCAAAAAUGGGGUAGAGACCUCGUUCGCAAUCUCAAAUUUCUUAAAAGUAUCAAAAAGCCCUAGGAAGCCACCCGAGAAGCAUCCAACGCCCAUGUUGACGUAUGUCUUGGUGCGUUGGGUUCUACUUAUCGAAUUCUAGUUUUGUCUCGAGGAUCUGAGUAUUUGUACGUAGUAAACGAGAGCUAAGAAUUCUGACAAGGAAAAUUCACUUUGAUGUUUCACCCUUUCAACAAGGUGGAAUAUUAGCAAAAUCAAAAAAUUUUGAGUUUACCUAAUUUCACCAGAAAACAAUAUCUCUGAGAACUGGUGAACAACUUCACCAAAUCUAAAAAAAUGGCCAAGUGAUGUUAACAUAUCAUUUAGGCAUCAAAAAAUACAAGUCUGUAAUGUUUUUCACUUACCCAGUGUCCAGGUUGAUGUUAGCAUGUCAACCUAAGCGCUUGAGGUCAACCUGGGCGCUGGGUUGUCAAUUUGGGCGUUGGGUGUUGAUUAACCUUCAGUAAAAUGACAACUCACUCAAUAUUGAUUUGAUUGACGCAAUUCAAGUUGAGUUUCGAACCUAUUUCAAAGAUCUAUCAAGUCAUGUCUCACACCCAUAUCACAAUUUUAAAGAUUUCUAGUUCAAAAUUUGUCAUUAAGAAAGUUGCAAUUUUUUCCGCAUAUUAUCCAAAAACGAUCCAACGAACGAGAUUCAAACUCUAAAAAUUGACAAUUUUCAUCAAGAGUCAAUUUUAGCCAUUAAGAUCAUCAUCAAUGGUCAAGAUCAACUCAAAGUGAUUUUUUUUCUUCAUAUUUUUUGUAUAUUUUUAUUAAUAUUUUAAUGGGACCUCUUUUCCUAUAAAAAGAGAGUUUCUCUAGUUCAUGUUUAACCUUCUACUAAGUCCCCAUAAGGUUAUAGCAUCUCUCUCUCUCUCUCUCCACUUUCUCUCUCUAGAAAUUUGAGCUAUUUCCUUAGUCAAUUCUCUUGUAAUUAUCGUGAGAAAUAAAAACUCAAAGUAGAUGUAACUCCAUUACCAUUGCGACAUAGAGAGUGAACUACUAUAAAUUUUGUGUCUCUCUUUAAUAUUUACUUAACUCAUUAUUCAUCUUGCCAAUCUAGCGAGCUAGUGUUGGCCAUUCUCCAGCGUCAAUAAUCUCCACUAUUGGUUGAGUGUGUUACUCAAGGAAGAGUAGUUUCUCACGAGUUAAGAAACUAAUAUGUAGUUCACACUAUACUAAAGUGGCUCUGUUAAUAGACCUAGUGAAUGGCAAAAAGACCAAAAGGUAUGUCGGACGUUCUUACCACACAUUUCUAGAAAUAUAUCAUUAAGAGUGAUAUAGUGUACUGAAACCACUUAAGCUAGUGUCUAUAAAGUCAUAUAUAAUAGAAGGCCUGGAAAUAAAUCUAGGACCAACUAUGUGAGAUAAUUGAUUCAUGAUGGAAUCAUACAAACUUUUAUGUGAAAAGAUAAUAGAUCCAUUUAUAAACAUUUGAGAGAAAGUUGAGGCACUUCACAUAAGACAGACAUCUAGAGAGAUGAGACUAAAAUUCCUCGCAUAAUAGAUUCACCAAUGAUAGAAACCUGAUUUGUUACCCCACUGAGUAAGAAAUUCAAUGCGUAAGAACACGUCAUUGAUAAAUGGAUAGUUUCAAUUCUAACAAAAUAAUAGGUCCCAUCUAAGGAUGGUUAGUGUUGGUUGCUACGAAUUUAAGGUUUAACCGAAAGGUUUAAUGAAAUUCAGUUUUUGAGAAACAAGCAUCUCUAAAAGUUGCAAAUAUGUUAUAAGAAUUUUACCUAUAUGAACUUAGAGGUGAUGCCGCCUCUCAUGGGAGUAGAGUUUUCUCCUUGGAUAGUUCAUGAAUGGACUAGCACAAGGCCAUAAUAGUGCUAAGCAUGUAAAAGUUGGAGUAACACAAUGAAAGUGUGUGGAUGUUCACUUGAACGCAAUACCACUAAUCUUAUCAUUAAGGACUUGGAGGUUCAAUCCAUAUGAGUACUGAUUAGCACCGAUAAGGCUUUGUAGUGCUUCUACUAAAGUAAUAUUCAACUCGAAAGAGAUAUUGUUUUAUGCACCGAACAUUGUCUAUUUAGAGAUGGGAAAGGCAUAAGUAUUUAAUCAAGUGGGGAGAUUGUUGGAAUUGGUUAAAUACUUAAGGUUAAAAUAUGAAGAUUAGUAUAGACUAAUCAAUGAGAUAUGUUUAACCUAAUAAUGCAAGUUAAAAUACCAAAACACAUUAAGAGAAUGUGUACUUUAAACUUGUAUUUGUAAGACGUGUUAAAACUUAUUUUUGAUCCUAAAACUUAGUUUUGAGUAAGCUAAGUCACCUGAGAAGUUUUGGGUUGUUCGAAAGUGUCAAAUGCAUGUUUCAGAGAAAAAUGCACAAUAUUGGGUGACAUGUUGCCUGAAACAUUUCUAGAAUUACGGUAAAUAAUAACUAUCAAAGUCACAGGAGAUAUAUCGCCAAUUAUAGGCAAUAUAUUGCCUGAGGUGAAAUGUUGCCUAAUAAGAUAGGAUUUGAGUUUUUACAUUUUUUAUUUCCCGAUGCUGCGAUAUAUUACCCAGUGGUUGGUGAUAUAUUGCCUUGAGCUUUGCAUGAAAAAUUUCAAGGUUUCAUAAAAUACAAGAAAUGACCCAAAUGACCUCAUUAAGUGACCUAACCACAUGGGUUAAUACUAAUGAAGAUUCCUACACUAUAUAAGAGUGUUACGAGAGUAAAAUGAUAUGAUCACUCAAUUUUAUCUCUCCUUCUCUCUCUCUAACACCUCUCUCGAAAUUUUCUCUACUUCUCUCCAAGUUUUGUUCUUAGGGUUUUGCUAAUCCUAAAAAAAUCAAAAGCUUGGAGGCUGUUUGGCUGUAUUUUUCAGUUUUUAAUUUUUAGAAUUGUGUUUUCUAAAUUGACAAUAUAAAAUAGUUUCUUUUAUCUUUUUAAAAAUUUAAUAGUGUUUGUCUCAGGUUUUUUAAAACUAUUUAUAUAUUUUUUUUACAAAAAAAAAAUCAAUAUUCUACACCAUACCAUGACAUGAACCCAUCCAAUUCGGACCGAAGCUCGGACCCAGACCUGAACCUAGACCCCGACCCUCAAACCCAAACCCGGUCCCAAACCCCAAACCCAGACCUAGACUAGGACCCAAAUCUUGGUCAGGGUCUGGGUCGGGAUUCAAGGUACGAGUCCUAUUCCGGGUUAGGCUACGGUACGGGAUCAGGGUCCAAUUUUAGGGUCUGGGUUAGGGUCCGAUUUUAGGGUCUGGGUUGGGGUUGGGGGUAUGGGUCCUGGUCCAAGUUAGGCCGGGGUCCGAUGUCUAGGGUGUGAGUCCAGUUCUGGGUUUGAGUCUGAGUCUGGGGUCCAAGUCUGGGUCCGUGUCUGGGUCCAAGGUUCGGGUCGGGGUCAGGGUCAGGGUCUGGGUUUGGGUUCGAAUUCAGGGUUCAGGGUCGGGUCGAGGUUUGGGUUUGGGUUCAGAUCGGGGUAGGGGUUCGGGUCAGGUCGGGGUCGGGGUCCAGGUCCGUGUUGGUGUCUGGGUCUGAGUCUGAGGUCAGGGUUUGGGUUCGGGUCGAGGUUGGAGUCAUGGUUCGGGUCCAGGUCUGGGUCCCAAUUUGGGGUCGGGCGUCGAGGUCUAGGGUUCGGGUCUGGUCUGGGUCCCGAUUCCAUGGUCUGGGUCCAAGGUCCGUGUAUGUGAGCAAAAAUGUAAAAUAUAAUAUGUUAGACAAAAAAAAUUGUUUUUGAAUAUUGAAAACUACAUUUAGAUGCUUUUUGUUUUUCAGUUUAUUAAAACUCUAUUUUUAAAAAACUGUUUUAAGAAAAUUUGGCCAAAUAACUCCUAUUAGUUCUUAAAAAUUAUUGAAAAUAUUUUUUAAGUUAUGAAGCCAAAUAGAUCUUUGAAGUCCCAGAUCUUAUUCCAUUAGAGAAGCCAUUAACAAUUAUUGGAGGGUUGGAGUAAAGAUUUUUUGGAUAGGCGUUAAUCUAACCCGACAAGCCUUCUUUGAUCAAAGAUUGAUUCUAAAAAUCAAUGGUGAUGUUUUCUAACUAUUCUUUAUGCUACUUGUGUUAGUUUUUUAUUCUUAGUUAUUUUUUUUUUGAAUUAGUCUUGUUGUUCAUAAUAAGAGCAUUGUUAAUGUUCUUAUGAUAUUAUUGUUGAUUUAAUCCUUUUGUUGUUAUUCUCAUUGUUGUUGAUCUUUAUAUGUGUUCAUACUGCAUUAAUGUAAUGUUAGAAUCAUAAGAAUCCUUGUAAAUUCACAACAAUUCAAACUCUAUUUCGGUGUAAGCUUUUGCUGCUGCGAAGAAUGGUAAGCUGUAAUGCUUUGUAUUUUUUUUUAUUGACUUUGGUUUUGAGGUUGGAUAAGAGGUGGAAGAUGAAAUACCCAUGUGUUUUAUCUAUGGGAACACCUUUCUGGUUGCUUUGAGGAUGGUUUCAUGUCAGUUUAAAAUUAAACAUUGAUCUUCUCAAACUCUGAAUGUUUCUCUAAAUUAGAUGUGCCGUCGACAACCAUUAUGGGUGCAAUUCGGCCAACCCUCAGAGCUGCAUUCAUUGCAGCAAAAACAUAUUGGAAACUAUCAUUUUCCUUCUUUUAAAUGUCAAUUAUUGUUUUAGGGUUUUUUUUAGCAUGUACAAGUAUUUUGGCAAGAGGCAGAUUCUUUUGCGUUUCCACAUAGCUGAUUUAGUGCGUGUUCCCUACUAUCUCAAGCCUUCAUGUAGUUCAUCUUUACUCUAUAUCUAUCUUUCAGUUCACCUUUUAUAUUAGUUGGAUUGCACUUUGUUUUCAGGCUGAGGAACUUUGCUUGUACGCAAUCUGCUAUAAAUUUUGUGGUUGCUUGUCGUUGAUCCCUGAAUUUGAUAGGUUGCUGUACAAUUGAGUAUCUUGAGUGAUGGUCACUUCUAAUUAUUAUCACAUUGUUGCACACUAUUACUUGGGUAGCUGCAAAAAAGAUUGUAUUUCUGUUGUUUUUGUAUUGUUGAAGGUGUUCACAUACAAUGGAUUUCAAGUGAAUCAAUUUCCUUGGUUAAUAAUAGAUUUAUGUAAAACAACAUACUUUUGUAAUCUUUGAUUUAGAGUGGUUGACAACCUUCCGUUAGUUAGUAUUUCAGUUGUAUUUAAGUUGUUUCAGGAUUG
Cannabis sativa is the source of this 7511-nucleotide long non-coding RNA. RefSeq lists it as uncharacterized. Lineage: Eukaryota; Viridiplantae; Streptophyta; Magnoliopsida; Rosales; Cannabaceae. The transcript has 2 exons. The record is from RefSeq and is a predicted model, not a curated record.